UUCAGCAUAAGUCACUUUAUCUUUAUGGUAAAUGUGAGAUGCAGUGUAUGGAAUGUUCAAUUUUAUCAUGAGAAAUUAACGAUUUAAGUCCUUCUUAAAUGAGGCCAUUUAUCCAUAGAGGGUGCCAGGCCCGUAUAACGUUAAUGAUUGAUAGAGAACAUUUCCAAAAUCGUGUUGCUUGAUAGUGCAGCACUAAGUGGGUGGUAAACUCCAUCUAAAACUAAAUAUAACCAUGAGACCGAUAGUAAACAAGUACCGUGAGGGAAAGUUGAAAAGAACUCUGAAUAGAGAGUUAAAUAGUACGUGAAACUGCUUAGAGGUUAAGCCCGAUGAACCUGAAUAUCCCAUAUGGAAAAUUCAUCAUCAUGACAAUGGUAUUUAUCAUAUUGUUGUAAUGGUGUGCAUUUUUUCCAUAUAAGGACAUUGUAAUCUAUUAAUAUGACAUAAAUUUAUCAUAAGAUCAAUGCUAAAAGUUUAUUCAAAUUAUUUUGCUUGCAAUUUAACAUAGAAUAAGUGGUAUUGAUUUGAUAAAGUGUUGAUAGAUUAAUAAUGUAUAGUGCUUGAAUACAUAAUAUCAUGGUGAUCAUUGAUUAUUAUGUUUAUUAUAUGC
RNAcentral lists this ribosomal RNA (610 nucleotides) under Atherigona theodori. Its description in RNAcentral is "eukaryotic LSU rRNA". It matches the Rfam family "Eukaryotic large subunit ribosomal RNA", at positions 108 to 633 of the family's 3401-position model. Lineage: Eukaryota; Metazoa; Arthropoda; Insecta; Diptera; Muscidae. The record is from RNAcentral.